This 253-nucleotide ribosomal RNA is filed under the name uncultured prokaryote. RNAcentral describes it as "partial 16S ribosomal RNA". It matches the Rfam family "Bacterial small subunit ribosomal RNA", at positions 524 to 776 of the family's 1533-position model. The record is from RNAcentral.
UACAGAGGGGGCUAGCGUUAUUCGGAAUUAUUGGGCGUAAAGGGCGCGUAGGCGGCCAUGCGUGUCUUCCGUGAAAUCCCUCGGCUUAACUGAGGACGUGCGGAAGAAACUGCAAGGCUCGAGUCCGGGAGAGGGGGGUGGAAUUCCCAGUGUAGCGGUGAAAUGCGUAGAUAUCGUUAGGGACGCCAAUGGUGAAAACAGGUAGCUGGGGGUGUGCUGACACUGAGACACGAAAGCCAGGGGAGCAAACGGG